ACAUCCAGAGAACUUAGCAGAGAUGCUUGGUGCCUUCGGGAACUCUGAGACAGGUGCUGCAUGGCUGUCGUCAGCUCGUGUUGUGAAAUGUUGGGUUAAGUCCCGCAACGAGCGCAACCCUUAUCCUUUGUUGCCAGCGGCUCGGCCGGGAACUCAAAGGAGACUGCCGGUGAUAAACCGGAGGAAGGUGGGGAUGACGUCAAGUCAUCAUGGCCCUUACGGCCAGGGCUACACACGUGCUACAAUGGCGCAUACAAAGAGAAGCGACCUCGCGAGAGCAAGCGGACCUCAUAAAGUGCGUCGUAGUCCGGAUUGGAGUCUACAACUCGACUCCAUGAAGUCGGAAUCGCUAGUAAUCGUAGAUCAGAAUGCUACGGUGAAUACGUUCCCGGGCCUUGUACACACCGCCCGUCACACCAUGGGAGUGGGUUGCAAAAGAAGUAGGUAGCUUAACCUUCGGGAGGGCGCUUACCACUUUGUGAUUCAUGACUGGGGUGAAGUCGUAACAAGGUAAGCGUAGCGAG
This 524-nucleotide ribosomal RNA is filed under the name uncultured bacterium. Its description in RNAcentral is "bacterial SSU rRNA". It matches the Rfam family "Bacterial small subunit ribosomal RNA", at positions 984 to 1509 of the family's 1533-position model. The record is from RNAcentral.